Small nuclear RNA from Manis pentadactyla (Chinese pangolin), 104 nucleotides. NCBI's taxonomy places the organism in Eukaryota, Metazoa, Chordata, Mammalia, Pholidota, Manidae. The record is from RefSeq and is a predicted model, not a curated record.
CUGCUCACUUUGGCAGCACCUAUCCAAAAAUUAUAAUGAUACAGAGAUUAGCAUGACACCUGCCCAAGGAUAAUAUGCAAAUUUAUGAAACAUCCCACAUUUUU